AAUUUAUUUAUUAAGGAAUAUAUUUAUUAAGCAAUCCUAAGGUAAAUCUUUAUUAUAAAACACUUCCUGAAGUAAAACAUUUUAUUAAGGAAAGGAAAGGAAAUCAACCGAGACUUCGAAAGUAAUGGUGAGUGAAAUCGAAUUAGCCAAUUAUCGAGUUUAUAUAUAAAAAAUAUAUUAAUUUUUAGCAAUAAAAAUUUAACUAUAAAAAGGUUAAUAAUAGUCCUUAUAUUAAUAUAAACUCCUUGUUCUGCGUACUUAAAAAUUUAAAUAAAUUUUUUAAGGCGUACGCAAUAACAAGCACUUAAUUGUUUUUAGGUGGAUAGCUUGUUUUUAUGUACAUAACUGCCAAUCGCGUAGCGACUGUACAGCACUUGCUAUACAGCAGCAACCGUAGGCUGUUAAAUUAAUAAGAAUAAUAAGUACAAUGAGAGUUAACUUGUUGGAAUAAAGGGGUACCAUCCUCUAAGGCUAAGUAUUAUAAAUUUAGCGAUAGUGCAAAAGUACUGUGAAGGAAAAGUUUGAAAAGCAUGUAGUAUACAUAUAUUUUAAUUUAAAUUAAAAAAUGGUGAAAUAGAUCUUGAAUUAGUAAUUCUAUAAGCAGUCGAAAUUCUUAACAUUAAUUGUUAGUAGAAUAACGGCGUACCUUUUGCAUAAUGGGUCAGCAAGUUAAUAGAAGUAGCAAGGUUCAUAGCCUUAGCGAAAGCGACUAUACUUCGUAGCCUAGCCGUACGGCAGGCAGUAAUGGGUAAGUUACUUCUAUUAGACCCGAAGCCAGGUGAUCUUACCAAGACCAGAUUAUAAUGGAUCGAACGGUUGAAUGUUGCAUAAUUCUCCGAUGAGUUUUGGUAAGUGGUGAAAUGCCAAUCUAACCUGGUGCUAGCUGGUUUUCUACCGAAACAUAUUUUAGUAUGAUGUCUACCUAAGAGAUUUAUGGAGGUACAGCAAGGCAAUUCCCAACAAAAUAACUUUAGUAGCGGAUAGCCUGCCUUCACGUACGUGAAUACGGCAGGCAGGCAAUUCGAACAAAAAGUUAAUGCGUUUAGGUUGCGGGGAUCUAGCAAAUCUUACCUUUGGAAGUGAAUCUCGGAAUUACAUAAAUUGAUAGUAGAUAUUCAGACUGUACAUGCUAAGUUGGACAGUCAAGACGGAAACAGCCGAGAACACUAAUCAAGGUCCCAAAUGAUUGUUAAGUGAAAUUAAGGACGUAGCAAUAUCAAAUACAGCUGUGAAGUGAGCCUGGCAGUCGCUACUUAUAAUGAACGUUUGUAACAACGCAACAGCAGCCAAAAAAGAUAGUCGCGCCGAAAAUUCAACGGGUCUAAACAAUCAACCGAUAUUGUGUUGAUUAAGAUAUUUUUUUAAUUAAUCGCUAAUUUAUUCUUAAUCUAGGUAGUAGAACAUUCAGUAUAACUGUUGAAAUUAUAGUGUUUCAUUAUAUAUUAGGUUACUGAAGAGAGAAUGCUGACAUGAGUAACGUAAAAAAUUCCUAUAAUGGAAUUCGCCGAAUACGAAAGGGUUACAAUAGAAAGGUUGAUCCUCUUUGUGUUAAUGCGGCCUCUAAGGAAUGUAGCAAUAGCUACUACUGAUGAGUAUAUUAUAGCAAAUCAUUGAAUAGUUGCGCUAGCCUGCAGUCGCUACGCGAGCAGGCAACGUACGUGAGUACGGCACGCUAUAUUAUUUAAUGAUCAGGAAAUUAAUAUAUUGGCUUUAUAUAAAGCUUAGUACUACCGUACCCUAAACCGACACAGGUUCGUUAGUUGAGAAUACUAAGGCGUAGAGCUAAAAGUUGUUAAGGAACUCGGCAAAUUCACCUCAUAAGUUUGACGACAAGAGGUGCCUUAUUAUUUAAAAUAUCACUUGUGCUGCUGCUAACCAAAGGUUACUUUUGCAAGGCAAGCUAGCGAUAAGGCGAUUAAUAAUAAGGUGACACAUAAUCGGAGGCCACGACUGUUUACUAAAAACACAACACAGUGCAAUCAUUAAUGUGAUAGUAUACUGUGUGAAAUUUGCCCAAUGCCAUUAAUAUAAGAACAAUCAUGGUUAGUUAAAAAUAAAAACUAAUAAAACUGUGAUUUAUCGAAAGUCUGGUUAAUAGCGGUCUUAACUAUGAGGAUCCUAAGGUAGCAAAAUAAAUUGGCCAUUAAAUGUGGUCCGGUAUCAAUAAUGUAACGAUGGUCUCGCUGUCUCUACAACUUGCUCAGUGAAAUUGAAUUACGCGUGCAGAUGCGCGUUACCACCAGGGGGACGGGAAGACCCUAUGCAGCUUUACUGUAAUUAGUUAUCAUAUGAAUCUAGAACAGCUUAUAUUAAUAGUGAAUAGGUAAAUCGAAAGAUAUUAGUGGAAACCUUAUAAUAUAAGUUGGGUUUAUGUUCACCUUAAAAUUAAAAUAUAAAGGGAGAGUUGACUAAUUGGCAGUUUGACUGGGGCGGUCGUCUUUAAAAUAGUAGCAAAGUACAUCCAAUUGUUUUUUUCAAAUAAUUUAAUAAAAAUUAAAAUUACAAAUAUCUAUUGAUCGCUACGCUUGCGUUGCAAAAGCUACGCAAGUACGCAACAAAUAGAGUUUUUUCUUUUUAAAAGGCAUAGCUAGAAAUUGAAUGGAGAUCAAUCAACCAGUGAAGGGUUGCGCAGAGUUCAAUGGCGUUAAGCAUGCUUAACUGAUAGACUUAAAAGUCAAACAGAUACGUAAGUAGGGCAUAGUGACCCCUCGCUAUAAUAUGGGAUAGACGGGGAUCAAUUAAUAAAAGUUACGCUAGGGAUAACAGGCUGAUAGCCGACGAGAGUACACAUUGUCUCGGCUGUUUGGCACCUCGAUGUCGACUCAUCCUAUCCUCCGGGGGAAGAAGCUUGGAAGGGUUCGGCUGUUCGCCGAUUAAAAGGGUACGUGAGUUGGGUUUAAUACGACGUGAGUCAGUAUGGUCCCUAUCUUCUGGUGGAAAAUUUAGUAAACAGGGACAGACCUUCCAGUACGAAAGGACCAAUAGGCUGUGUUUAUAUAGUGUACCAAUUGUUUGUAAUCAACUAUUAAUCGCGUAGUCCUUUGGAUCGCUACGCGACGACAAAAUAAAAUAGAUAGAUAUAAAUGCAUAGUUGGGUAGCCACAAACAUAAUAGAUAAGUGCUGAAUGUCUAUAAAGCAAGAAUCUACUCCCUUUAUACUAAUAUAUUGUGCUCGCUACGCGAUUUAAUAGUCGCGUCCGCGAAUUAAAUUAUAGCAACAAUAAUAAUUAAGAAAUAGAACAUUUCUAAAUAGGUUGCAAAUGUAAAUAUUGUAAAAUAUAAAUAGUUUAGCAAUACUAAUUUAUAAAAAAACUAAAGGUU
Molecule: ribosomal RNA, 3321 nt
Filed under: Coprinellus micaceus
Lineage: Eukaryota; Fungi; Basidiomycota; Agaricomycetes; Agaricales; Psathyrellaceae
Description: 16S ribosomal RNA
Rfam family: Bacterial large subunit ribosomal RNA
Source: RNAcentral